UGAUAUAUAUAUAUUUUUUUUAUUCACAGAUGUGGAAAAGAAUGGAAGGGAAACCGUUGUCACAUAAGUGCUAAGCCUCUUCAAUCUCUCACUUCAAGUCUCCUUCGAAAUGAUAUUUGGAUUGGGUUGGGGAUCAGUUUCUUGCUGAUUAAAAUUGCAGUUGGUGCCUUAUGUUUCCUGUCAAAGAAGAAAGAGCACAAAAUGAAAGUAGAGGAAACCAUAAAUACUUCAUUUGUCAAUCCAUUGUAUGAAGAUCUUAGUUCAUCUGGAAAAGGAAAGUCUCGUGGAUACACUACUUCACCUGCUGUUCAAGUCAGUGUUUCUCCAUGGCAUGAGUAUCCAUUUAAUGAAGGUGAGAAUACUACCUCUUUUUCAAAUCCUCUCUACGGUGAGCCAUCAGGAGACAUGGAGAAAUUAUGCAGUUCCUUGAAAAUAGACAGAAAAUGGGAUUAAUAUUGUAGAUGACAUAUGACUCUUUGUCUGAAGAUUUGUUCCAAAAUCUGAAAGUAUGCUAUGAUCCUGCAGCAUUUGCAAUAUGAAUAACACUCCACAGAAUAAAUCUUUUAUUAGAAUAAUUAUGUUCAGAAAGUAAUAUUACAUUAAAAAUUGAAUCAAUAAGCAUAUGUAGAAAAAUAUAGAAAGCCAAAUUUAUAUAUAUCUACUCUUUCCUACUUCUGUUGGUGCAGAAAUUGAUUAGUAAUUACAACUAUGAAUUCAUUUUACAUUUGGACAAUUCAAAUGCCACUAUGUUAAUAAAAUGUUUAAUCAAAUCCAGAUUCCUGAAGUCUAAUAAUCAUAAUUCUAUAUCUAUUAUUUGGGAAAUGAUGACUUAAAUAUUUCUGCAAUUCUAUAUUAGAAAUAGAUUUUAAAUGGCUGUUUUAGUGUUCCAAGGGGCAGAAGUAAAAGAAAAGUCUUUGUGUAAUUAGAAACAUAUCGAGAUAAAUCAAAAUGGUCACAAAUUUGAGUAUCUGCUCAGUAUGUAAUUCAGCAAUGUGAUACAAUGGUAUAUACCCUUAUUUUUAAAAGUAGAUUUAUUAUUAACCUUGAAAGCCACAUCUGACCAAAUUCCAUUCUGGUCAGAUCUACAGUGGUUACCACAGUGCUACCAAUGUACAUAGCUUAGUGGUUGACAGAAGAUAGCAACUAGUAUAUUCAGGUAGCUUAUUUCUGCCAAGUAAGCUGACCUCCCACAUAGCUGCAACUUAUGUCCUCACAAGACUACAUGGCGGGAAUUCUAGUUCAUCUCCUGAAUUUGAAUAUCAUCCUCUGCAGUAUAAGAUAUAGCUUACUCUUUAAAUAACUUGAAUAUAUGUCAUCUUCCAUAAUGCCCACUAGAAUUAUCUAGUGGUCAUUUUCAGUUUGAAGGCUUAAAUGUUUCUGCAGUGCCUACAUGACUACAUUUUAACAGUCUACUUAAUUUUAAACCUAGUGGAAAGCUUAAAAGAUACAAAACUACUUCAGAUUUUUCAGAUAAAAUAAGCUUUUUGGAUGCAGACAUUAUCUCUGUUAGUUCAGGUAAUAUUGAAAUGCUUGACAUUUAUUUGACUUUUCAGUCUCCCCACAGAAGAGCAUGCUGAAGGCUGGCUUCAUUCCAUAAUGCAUGGGACUUCUUGGUUUUGGGUGUGUUGUUGUUGUCUUGUUCGUCUUUCACGUUUUCUUAAUAAUACAGUGGAACCUCAGAGCUCUGUACCUGGGACCACAGAAAUACUUUUCAAUUUUUUUUCUUACAUAAAUGACAUGAUGUUUCCUGGGUAGCAGAAGUAACAAAGCAUGAUUCUUAUUGAUACCUCUCCAUCAUCCUCUUCACACCAUUCUGACAAUAUGCUUAGAAUCACAGAAUAUCUCAAAUUGGAAGAGACUCACAAGGGUCAUCUAGUCCAGCCCCUGGCUCCACAAAGGACCAUGCAAAAUUCAGACCCUAUGUCUGAGAGCAUUAUUCAAAUGCUUCUUGAACAUCAGCAGCUUUGUGCUAUGACCUCUGCCCUGGGGAGCUGUUCCAGGGUCUAACCACCCACUGAUGAAGAACUUUUUCCUAAGACUCAACCUGACCAUCCCCUGACUUAAGUCCAUGUGAUUCCCUAAAGUCCUAUUACUGGUAAGUGAUAGGUGAUGACUUUGUGCUGCAUUGUAAAACCACAUUUCACUUACCUCUCUCUUCUGUAAACUCCUCACUUCUUCACCAGGCUCUAUAGCCUACCUACCUUAAAGCUGUGUCAUGACCUUGUUCCCCUAAAGUGUCCUAACAACAGCCAAAAAACAAGAAGCAUUAGCCACUAUGCCUGGCUCAGAGGAGCACGAGUGCUCAUCAGCUGCUGCACAUUUGCUGGUUGGCCAGCUGGCAGCACACUGCUACUUCUCCCACUCUGUACCCUGAAACUGGACUGCUAUUUCCUGCUCCUCUGCUGAUUUUAAUGAAGACAGUCAGAGCAUCACACCUGGCGGUCACACACCUGCCUUAAUGCCAAAUUUAGUUGGAAGUAAAAGGUAGACCAAAACCAUAAAGGUAUUCAUGGAGGUUUUUUAAUAAGGAACCACAGUAACUCAUGCUGUUUUCCUUUUGCAAUGAUUAAUAAGACAGAAAUAUGGAACUUGCUCACUAUACUUGUUAAGUUGCUCUACAGAGGAAAGACAUAACACAGCAAAGUGCCAGGUGCCUCCAGCUCCCGAACUCUCUGAUAUUUUGAUUAAAUCUGUGUGAAAUGAUUGUUUUCACCAUCAUAAACAGGCAUUGAACAUUCCUACAAGAUCAAACCCAUGCAGUCAAAUUUCCAUUUAUUCUGCAAUAGACAGACAGUGCUUUCAUUAAACACUUAAAUGCUGGUUAUACCAUUGUCUUUAAAUCUCCAAGCAUUGUGUCCUCUUAUGUCUUUCUGUUAAAAAAAAAAAUAAUAAUAAUAAAAAAAAAAAUUACAUUAGUAACAAGGAAAAAAUCAGUAUUGCCAGAAUUUAUCACAUUAUCCUUUAUGAAACAAAAUAUAUAUAUUAUUAAUUUUACUCAUAUUUUAAUGUUGUAUAUAGAAGCAUAUGAUAAAGAACUUAUGAAAUAAUUCAAAGAAUAUUAUAUUCCUCAUCAGCAGCUGUUUCCUGAGAGAUUGUCACUAUGCUCUAUUAUUUCUGAAGCAAGAGAAAAACAAAUUAUUGGUCUUUUACCAGAUUAUUUUUCUUUUCUACCUAUAUAGAAUAUUUUUGAAGAAAUUGUUAACAUUCAGAGUUUUCAUCUUCCUGAGCUUCAAUAAUUUUUCACAACAAAAGAGUCACUCGUAUCCAUUGAACAGUAAUGGUCUUACAUCUAACAGCUGAAUAACAGCCCAACAAUGAAAUGUUUGCUUAGAGAUGAAAAUUAGUUUUUGUUUCAUUUUUGGAAACCUGGAAGUACUUUGAACCAAAGCAGUAGAAUUCAUAUUUUCAUUCACCCUUGCUACAAUUUGACUUCUUAAUAUCUAAAGAGAAUGUCAAGGACAAAUAAUUUCUUAAAUAUUUAUGCAUAGGUUUCUUACUUCUCCUAGUCGAUAAUAGUCCUUGACUAAAUAGCCUCUUUAUACUCAUGCUGCUAAUGUUGUAAAUUCCGCAUAGUAAAAGUGAAUUGCUUCCAACAGAGGCUUGUUUUCCUGGAGUAUUUUGAAGUUGGUUAUUUUAGCCAGAUGAUGAAUUGUGUAUUUAUUCUAGUUUAAACUUGUUUGUACACUAAUGAUUCAAGAUAACAGAAGAAAUAAAUUGCAAGACAAAACUUUUAACAAAACUUAACGCCUCCUGCAAUGUGGUCGGUACGUGCCUUUUAGAGUUGUUUUAGCUCCCUGAAUAUCAGAGUGGUAGAGAACAUAGUCCCUUGAUUUUGAUAAAUUCAUCAAAACAAAGUAUAGUUAUGAUUCAUUUCGACAAACAUGUUUUGUACACAAAUAACCAGAUCCUGACCUUGAUGUUCUAAUAACUUGUGAUGGUCCAGUAAUUUUUUUUCAAACACAAAGUAAUGCUUCUGGCUUAGCUGUUCCAUCCUGCAGGGAACUAGAAGUCUGCUUAGAAAGGAUUAUCAUCUUUGCAGCCUGUUCCAGUGCUUGCCUUGCCAUUUGUCAUUGACCACUUCUUUGCAAUUUUGAAAAUCAUGGGGAAGGGGAGAAAGAUCUUAACUCCUCUUUACCUUAAGAAACUUUAAGUGCAAACUGGUGGCUAUGUGCUCUCCUCCUUGCCAGUAAAGAGGGGCUUGGAGCUUGCUCUGAGCUUCCCACUGGUCUCAUUGGUUGAAUUGUUUUAGACUUAACAUCAGUGCUUUGUACUGCUAUCUCAUUUCAUAUUCCUGUAUCCAUUGGCCACUGUAAUUGUAAAUGAAGUUCCCACCAAUGCAUUCUGUGUAUUUGCUGAUGGUGCCUUUCUUGGGUGCCCUUCUUUUUGUCCAUAUUACUUCUAAAAAGAACCAUAGAUUAUAAGAGAAGACCCUAGACGGUAUCCAAGAACAUAACAUUUCUGACUGAGUGUUCAAGAAGUCAGAAUGAAAUGUACAGGAUGAACUAAAAUAGAUCAUGUUGUGAUGCUGUCCUCUGGCCUUCUAUGGAUCACAAACCAAAACAUAUUUGAUUCCCAACAUAUAUUACUGUAAGAACUAGAGAAAAAUCCAUUUUUUCAAAUGUAUAUCUCUCCUUUUUAACAUUUCUUCAUAAAAGCAGUUCAUUUGUCAUUUUGUUUUUGAGCAAGGUCAAUAGAAUAUGCUUUGGAGAAGAACUGGUUAAGUUCUCAGAAAUGUUUAAGCAAUAGCAUGAAACAAAAAUCAUUAUCAGCUACAAGGGCGGGUGGGUAUUCUACUUUUCCAAUGAAAAUAAGAGUCUGAGACAAGUCAGCAGGCAUGCUCGACUGGGUUAAAUGGGUAUAACAGAGAGAAAUGAGCACAAAUUAUUCAUGGGAAUUCUUUAAUCUUCUGUUUAAUUAUGUGAUCAUUCCUAGAACAAAGACUUUGAUUGAUCAUAAUGGCAAGAAAAUGUCAAUUUGCACUCAGCACAGUGAUUAGCAUACAGCUACAGAGAACAAAAAAAAAGUGAGAAUGUAGUGUUUUAAUAUUUUUUGCAUGUUUUAAAAGUUUGGGAUGCUAACUCUAAAUAAUUUAGAGGCUGUUAUAAAUAUUCUCCUCCAAAGAAAGCUGUUUUCAUUUUAUUCUUCUUUUCAGUCUUUGAGUCCUACUUUUUCAAGUCACUCAUUUUUCUUUAUUCAAAAAUUUUAUGCUGUUCAUAAAACAGUAUAAUUCUGUGAAAAGUAUUUUAUGUUAUAUAUGGCAUGUGAAUUUGCAAAGCUUUAGUCAACAUUAUUAUAAUUUUGAUAGCUAAGACUCUGAAUACGAUUAAGUGAGCAGUAAGGUAUGGUUACUUCAGAAACAUGGUGUAUUGAGAACAUUAACAUUAGUAAUCUAUUUGGUAUUCACAUGGAUAUGUUAGCAAGAAGUGGACAUUAAUAAGCACUACAUUACAAUUGGCCUAUGAUGAAACUGUGUAUUAUAGCUACAUUAGUAGUUAAAGUAUUCAGCAUGAUUCAUGUAAAGUGUUUUCUGGGAAUGAAUAAUAAAGUGCUUUUUUUUCUUGUAAAAUGGGGCUUUGUUCAUUGUAACAACAUGAUGAAUCGUGCAGUAAAUGCAGAGGUAAGUAGGACUCUCAGGGUUAUGUGCUACCCUGAGCUUAUAUGCAAAAUCUCUAGUGACAUGAAGUAAAUCAUAAGGAUAAAGGAGUAACCUCCAAGGUACUUUAAAACCUAAGCACAAAUAUCUGGAAGAGAAAAGGAAUUAAAUUUUUCUGCACUUCCUGUUUAUCUGCUUUAUUCAGCUUUUUGGGUUGCUUGUUUUUUUGCUUUUGCAAUAGAUGUGGUUUGUAGAGACAGGAAUCAUGACAGACUGCUUUAGUUUGGGGUUUAAAAUUCAUGCAAACACAUGUCCAAAGUGCCAGGAUUGUUGCAAAGAUCCACAAUGCUAUAGAACACACAAAAACAUAUUUAAUGACUCUCUUAACUAGUGAAUUCAAAUUCAUCAAAAAUGUUUGAGAAAAAAAGAAAAAAUAGUCUACAUAAAUUCUCCUACAUUUAACCCUUUUAUAUAAUUUGCUUCGGGUUUCACAACAUUCAUUUAAUAAUGUGUGAUUAGUGAGAAAAUAUUGGUAUGUCUGUAUUUUAUACUGUGAAAUUAUUAACUACAGAAGUAGUAGAGUGCCACCAGAAAGGGAACACCAUGCCACUUUUCCAUUUCCUUUAUGUUAAAAUAUUAAAUGCUUUAUGUAGGACACAAAACAGAUUUAUAGGAGGAGCCUGUAUAUCACAAUAUCCUUCUCUGACACCCACGUGACAUGUUUGAUACUGCCAGCACUGUAAAUCACAUAGACAGCCUUUAAGUUUAACAAAGACAUAUCACUAUUCCCUUAGAGCCAUACUUUUUUGAUGAUAGCACUCGCUACUUUACGCAGCAGCCAACAGAACUCUGUAUCAAACCAGAUCAUUGUGUGAGCAGAAAGCAAAUGUGCAAGUUUUCAAUUUUAAAACCACUUCUGCUGCAGUACAGACACAACAAUGCUUGCUUUCAAUAGCUAAGGGGAAAAAACACAGAUUAAUAGACAUACCAGUCAAAUUGCUGUAAUUUCCAAUCCAGUAAAACAAUGGUAAACGGCCCAAAGGAAAUGCCCAAAAUAUUUUAUUUCAGUAAUGUUGAUAGUGAAUUGCACAUUGGGAACUUUUAACCUUACUGAUUAAAUUUAAAAAGGAGAAAACAAAAUGCCACUGUUGCUAAAGGUACCUUGUCUGGUGGCUAGAUUUAGGCAGCAAUGUUUGAGAGGACAAAUUCAAUCUGUAUAUGUUCAACAGCUUUCUGUAUAAUUCAUGUCCUAAGGAUCUAAAUUGUAAAUUAGCUGGUUUAAAUUUCAUUUAUGCAUAAUGUAGAACUAUUUGCUGUUCACGCUUACAUUUGUGCAUUUUAUGAGUUAUAUGUAUGUAUUUUAUACCAAUAUGCAUUUUAAAUUUUAUUUUGGGGUGCAUGUUAAAUGCAAUUUCAAGCGGUAGCCUAAUGAAAAGAAAUAUUUUGUUUGAUUACUAUUUAUUUAAUGUUAUUUUCUUUUAAUUAUUUUGUUAUGCCAUAAGAUUUUCUCUAUAAUGUUUCAACAUAAAGUAAUGCUUCACAUUGUUGCUGUUAAACACUAAUGGCAGACCUUAAAGAACAAUAGAAAUAGAUCAUGAAGUUAUCUGCAACAUAUAAUUACACAUUCAAUGACCCAGUCUGUGCUGUAUUUCUGCACAAUGUAUUUGCAAUUAAUCAAAAGGAGUAGGUAUACUAGUUUUGAAACUAACACAAAAAUACCAGUGAAUCAUCCAUCAAGCCUUCCACCAACCCUAUUCCAACAAAGUAGAUAGCUCAUGCACCAUUUUAAAUACACUGGUAAUUCCAGAGCAGUCCUAUAAUAAAUGAGGUUAUACAAAUGGUUUAAGACAAGCAUAGCCAUGUUGUUGUUUGUUUUUUUUUGUAUGAUUGGGAUCAACAUGGGUUGACAAAAGUACUUUUCUAAAAAGAUAUCAUACUCUAAUUGGUGAUGAUGUAAAUGGAUGACAAUGGAUAUUCUUAAAUGUCAAAAGUGUUCUGUAAUAAGAGUGGCAUUAAUGAGAAAAUAUUAAUGCGCAAGCUCAGAAACACAAAAUUCUACACUGUUCUUUUAUGAAAUUAACUUUCUGUUAGUAGCAAUGGAUAAAUAUUGGCAAGUUUAACUAAUCCCCUAAAAGCUGGCAUGCCUGUCAACUUCCCAUUAAUAUCUAUAAAAUAAUUAUCCAUGCAAGUUUUAGUUAUGAAGAGAAAUAAUUAAAUGAAAAAAUUCAGACCGGUUCUACAGAAGGGAGUAACUGAAAUUUUUAAGCACCCAUCUAACUUUUAAGCAUCUGGUGAAAGUAAUUGUUUAAGCUUUACUGGAAAACAUCCUUAAAUUUCACUGCUGUAAUUUACCUCUUUACUGCCUUUAGCACUAGGUGUCUGAGCUAACCUAAUGACACAGAUACUGCUCUCCAGCUCAUCUUUCAGUCUCAGAUCCCUGAAAGGGGGCUUGAUUUCUGGUUCUUAGCCUUCAUACAUUUUCAUUAGUGAUCCCUUGAAAGAAAAUGUGUCUUCUCAGGAGCCAGGACCAGUCUCCCAGUCACCAUAACGGACUUAAAGAGAAUGAGUUUGUUAUAAAAAAAUAUAUAUGUAUAUAUAUAUCUCUCUAGGAAAGAAUAUCUGUGCUAUGAAACCAAAUUUUGUUAUUUGGUUCAGUAAAUAAGCAUGUAGCCAUGUGCUACAUGGCUCUGUUCUCUUCCUUCUCAGGAUUUCUCAGCAGUUGGCCUGACUGCUUCUCCUGAGUGGUCUACCAAUUAGAUUGCAUCUUCGUCUGUGCCCGGCUUACUUUGUUUUCCUUACAGGGACAUUUAGUUGGUGAAUUUCCCCCAGACAUUCACCAGCGCAGUGUCUCGCCCUUUGCAUACCCCUGCUCCACUGGGAUGCUAAUCAUGAGUCUGCACUGAAAGGGUUUGUCCAAGCCCACAGAAGAAGCACAGAGUUGAAUUUUCUGGGCUUAUGGUAUAUACACUCUUUCUUUCAUGGAAAAAGUGCAUUUUUUUUCAAGUGGUCUUGGGUCCUGACUGAGCUGACCAUACACUAGGGUCUGUACGUACAAGAUGCUGAAACAGUAACCACAGUGCUUUGCUUUGGCUCCUUUGAGCCUAACGUCUGCAAAAGACCACAAACCAGUGAAAGACCACUUUCCCUUGAUUCUCAUCGUCUAUAAAACUGCUGUCCUCAGCUAACAUCAUCAGCAGACACAGCUGAACAAAGAUUUAUCUGAGUAGUAAUAAAUGACAUCAUAUUUUUCCCUAACACUUGUAACUUAAAGAUGUGUCUUUGUUGCUGGAAUAAAUAACAUGGGGAUGCUAAUAUCUGCAAAUGAGAAUGUAGAUAAGAUGAUGUAUGUAUUUUUACAUCUAUUUAUUAGUACAGUACAGAUGUGCAGAUUGCAUUAAUAAGCAGAGUUAAUUUAAUGUAUUAUAUACAGUCCACCAAAUUUUGGAGUGAUUUCUGCAGAGGUUAAAGAUCUCACCUAAGACAAGACUGCAUCCAGUUAUAAUUUUUUAAAAUGUAUUUGGAGAUACUGUGCUAGCAAUAUUCUUAAUUGAAGAUUUUCUUACAGUGUCCAGAAAGUAUCAUUAUUCACCUUCAGUGUUGAGUAGCCAGAUAUUUUUUCUUAUGUUAAUUAGUUCAUAAUGGUAAAAAAGGGGAUUGGAACCUAACUGUAUGAUACUGUAUAAGGAACAGCUCUCCUAAAUGGUACAUUUGAUGCCCUUUUUAAAACCAAAAUGUCUUAAAAGUACUCAGAAAAAAAAAAAGGAUUCUUUUUUAUCAUUGAUAGAUAUAUUCUUCUUGUUCUGUUUCUAAACUUAGAGUACAUAUAUAAUAACUUUCACAGAUAGAAGAAAUUUGCACACGCUUUUACACUUUAAAAUGCAAUUACUUUUCUGACAGCUUUUUAAAUACAUGAUCAAUUUGGCUGAGAUCUGGGGAAAUUGCUUUGUUUUCAUAACUACAGUAAUCAAUCAAAAAGUAGAAUGAGAUCUUUUAUCAUUGAUAUUUCAGGGCAAUGGCCAAAAAAAAUUGAUAGCUGAAAUUCUCUUUAGUAAAUAUUUUACUACACUUUUCUCCCUGAAAUUCAAACAUGCUUCUUUGUGAUCUGCACAGGUGUAAAGAUGGUUGUAUCUGAUAGCAAGAAAUGACUACUGGCAACAGUACCCACAUAGGUCAGACAAAGGAUGCCUUUGUAAGACCUCUUUUCUUGCUACUUUAAUAUUUCAGCCAUAGGUAGGUCUUUAUAUAGAACAUGAGUGAAAUUAUAUAACUUUUCAGGUUACUUUUGUCAGACAGUUAGAAACUUCUCACCAUCAGUUGGAAUUAUCAAAGACUGUCAUGAAGAAUAAACACUUCAUACAACAGAAGAAGUGCUGAUAAUAUCCAACCUGCUCUUCUCCCUCUUUCCCUUCCACUAAGAAACUAAUGAGGGGCAGCUGUUAUAAAAGACUGCAAUUCAGCCUGUGGGAAAGUGGUAGAGGUGGGGAAUAAUAGAUGUCUCUUGUGGUUGGAAGGAUUUAGUAGCCCUAGGGAGGCAAUACCUUGCUCGUGGUAGGAGACAACAGUAAGCUAGCGCAGAUUGUAUCCUGGAGGAAAGGAUGAAGUAAUGUAUGGUUUUACCUGCAAGAUGUGAAAUGGUGACUCUGAGAUCAAAAGACUUAUAGAAAUAAUCUGUGCUGAAUUCUAAGUUACUCAAUAACAUUCAGAGGCUUUUUGUGUUAUGUGUGUGGGUAGGGAGGGAUUGUUAUGCAGACAUCCACAGAACAUGUUUUCAACACUGAUGUUUGCUUUUGGUAUCCAUCCUGAAUUAUUUUAUAUAUUUUUAAAGCGAGUUUAGGCUUUAAUGACUGCUUUUAAGCUUAUAUUUAUGUUUUUUCUUGAUUUAGGUAAGAAAAAAAUGUUCAGUUUGUUUUUUUCUCACCUCAGAAGUCUCUCUUCAGCAUUUUUUCCAACAACAAUCUACACUGUGCUGUCACACUGUCCUGAGUUCCAGGCCAAGCCAAAUUCUGCUAUCAGUUGCACCACUGAAAUGAUGAGGAAACGCUGAUCCUGGUGAUGAAACACUUGAACUGUGGAAAGCAGUUUUGAUUUGUAUCUAUAGUGGUGUUGUUUUUAUUCAAAUAGCUCUUGUGGCAGUUUACUUUUUCCAGUUGUGUAGUAAAACACUUUUACUGUGGUUGGCUUAAUUCUCAAAGCUUUAAAAAAAAAAAAUCAAUUUGUUUCUUUGUACUCAGUAUACUGGAGCUGAAAGCUGUUAUGUACUGUUACUUCAGGGUCACUGCUUAACUUCUGUUCACCCUCUUGUCCAUGAAUAUUCCCUUGAGUUCAUUACAGCAAUCUAGUUCCUGGACUUUUUUUAAUGCAUGAGCUUAUAUAUGGUUCUUAAAUAACUGCUAUCAGAGUUGUUAAGAACAAUGAUUGAUCUUAGGUCAAAAACAAUUUACCACAUGCAGGAACACAAUCCAUUACACACUUCACAUGAAUACCCAUUGUACUGCAAAGUUUAUGAGGAGAAAGAUGUGAAUGUUACAGACAGAGCAAUACAAAAUAAAGAAAAACAGGUAGAGAACUGCAUAGCACAGAUCAGACAUACUAGCAAUUACUAUUCCAUCCUUUGGGACAAUUCUGAGUUAAGUACCCACUGUUGUACAUCAUAGCUUUUUUUCUGCGAGAAGAGGAAUAUCAGGAAGGUUCAAAAAUUCUGAUGGAUGUGCAGAUUUCAGCAAACACUAAGUCUGAAAAAUUAUUGGAAACGAACUUUUCUUGCUACAGGGAGAUCUUUAAGAGCUACUUAAAUUAGUGCAAGGGAAUGGGAGAACAGCACUGAAGGCAGCCCAAGGUUCCUGUCCAAUCUUCCAAGGAAAUGGUUGGCUGAAGGAGAUCCUUUCAGGUAGCCCUUGACAGAGCUGAGGAUAGCAAUCUACACUGCUUAUCUCUGUUGCUAAAAGUUAGUAUCUUACUUUUUUUUUU
Molecule: non-coding RNA, 11560 nt
Organism: Meleagris gallopavo (turkey)
Lineage: Eukaryota; Metazoa; Chordata; Aves; Galliformes; Phasianidae
Source: RefSeq, a predicted model, not a curated record